AACGUAGGAGGCAAGCGUUAUCCGGAUUUACUGGGCGUAAAGCGCGUGCAGGCGGUCUGGUAAAUUGGAUGUGAAAGCUCCCGGCUCAACUGGGAGAGGCCGUUCAAAACUGUCAGACUAGAGGAGGGUAGAGGGAGGUGGAAUUCCGGGUGUAGUGGUGAAAUGCGUAGAUAUCCGGAGGAACGCCAGUGGCGAAAGCGGCCUCCUGGACAGUCCCUGACGGUCAGACGCGAAAGCUAGGGGAGCAAACGGG
This 253-nucleotide ribosomal RNA is filed under the name uncultured bacterium. Its description in RNAcentral is "partial 16S ribosomal RNA". It matches the Rfam family "Bacterial small subunit ribosomal RNA", at positions 524 to 776 of the family's 1533-position model. The record is from RNAcentral.